AUAAUGCAGUCGACGCUUCUUUUCCCACCGGAGCUUGCUCCACCGGGAAAAGAGGAGUGGCGAACGGGUGAGUAACACGUGGGUAACCUGCCCAUCAGAAGGGGAUAACACUUGGAAACAGGUGCUAAUACCGUAUAACAAUCGAAACCGCAUGGUUUCGUUUUGAAAGGCGCUUUACGGUGCCGCUGAUGGAUGGACCCGCGGUGCAUUAGCUAGUUGGUGAGGUAACGGCUCACCAAGGCCACGAUGCAUAGCCGACCUGAGAGGGUGAUCGGCCACAUUGGGACUGAGACACGGCCCAAACUCCUACGGGAGGCAGCAGUAGGGAAUCUUCGGCAAUGGACGAAAGUCUGACCGAGCAACGCCGCGUGAGUGAAGAAGGUUUUCGGAUCGUAAAACUCUGUUGUUAGAGAAGAACAAGGGUGAGAGUAACUGUUCACCCCUUGACGGUAUCUAACCAGAAAGCCACGGCUAACUACGUGCCAGCAGCCGCGGUAAUACGUAGGUGGCAAGCGUUGUCCGGAUUUAUUGGGCGUAAAGCGAGCGCAGGCGGUUUCUUAAGUCUGAUGUGAAAGCCCCCGGCUCAACCGGGGAGGGUCAUUGGAAACUGGGAGACUUGAGUGCAGAAGAGGAGAGUGGAAUUCCAUGUGUAGCGGUGAAAUGCGUAGAUAUAUGGAGGAACACCAGUGGCGAAGGCGGCUCUCUGGUCUGUAACUGACGCUGAGGCU
This 728-nucleotide ribosomal RNA is filed under the name Enterococcus mundtii. RNAcentral describes it as "bacterial SSU rRNA". It matches the Rfam family "Bacterial small subunit ribosomal RNA", at positions 51 to 753 of the family's 1533-position model. Lineage: Bacteria; Bacillati; Bacillota; Bacilli; Lactobacillales; Enterococcaceae. The record is from RNAcentral.